GUCAUGCAGUCGAACGAGAAAGCGUUCUCCGGAACGUGAGUACAGUGGCGGACGGGUGAGUAACACGUGGGGAACCUGCCCUCAAGCUGGGAACAACCCGCCUAACGGCGGGCUAAUACCGAAUGUGGUUGUCAGUCCGCAUGGUAUGACAACUAAAGGUGGCCUCUCCUUGGAAGCUACCGCUUGUGGAUGGCCCCGCGCUCAAUUAGCUAGUUGGUAGGGUAACGGCCUACCAAGGCGACGAUUGAUAGCCGACCUGAGAGGGUGAUCGGCCACACUGGGAUUGAGAUAAGGCCCAGUCUCCUACGGGAGCCAGCAGUCUAGAAAUUUGGGCAAUGGGCGAAAGCCUGACCCAGCGACGCCGCGUGGGGGAUGAAGCUUCUCGGAGUGUAAACCCCUGUUAGUGGGACGAAAGCCCGUUUACGAAUAGUAGGCGGGUUUGACGGUACCACCAGAGGAAGCUCCGGCUAACUCCGUGCCAGCAGCCGCGGUAAUACGGGGGGAGCAAGCGUUGUUCGGAGUUAUUGGGCGUAAAGGGCGUACAGGCGGUGGUGUCAGUCAGAUGUGAAAUCCCCCGGCUCAACCGGGGACCUGCAUUUGAUACUGCAUCACUUGAGUACAGGAGAGGAGAGCGGAAUUUUCGGUGUAGCGGUGGAAUGUGUAGAUAUCGAAAAGAACACCAGUGGCGAAGGCGGCUCUCUGGCCUGAUACUGACGCUGACGCGCGAAAGCUAGGGGAGCAAACAGGAUUAGAUACCCUGGUAGUCCUAGCCGUAAACGUUGGGCACUAGGUGUUGGAGGUAUCGACCCCUUCAGUGCCGAAGCUAACGCAUUAAGUGCCCCGCCUGGGGAGUACGGCCGCAAGGCUGAA
This 870-nucleotide ribosomal RNA is filed under the name uncultured Deferribacteres bacterium. Its description in RNAcentral is "bacterial SSU rRNA". It matches the Rfam family "Bacterial small subunit ribosomal RNA", at positions 52 to 898 of the family's 1533-position model. Lineage: Bacteria; Pseudomonadati; Deferribacterota; Deferribacteres. The record is from RNAcentral.